This 2281-nucleotide long non-coding RNA is filed under the name Strongylocentrotus purpuratus (purple sea urchin). RNAcentral describes it as "uncharacterized LOC105444455". The record is from RNAcentral. Lineage: Eukaryota; Metazoa; Echinodermata; Echinoidea; Camarodonta; Strongylocentrotidae.
UACAGUAACAACUUAGUCAUAGUUGACCCGACCUCGCCUAGCCCAUUGUGCAUUAUGAAAAGGAAAUAUUAUUAACCAUUUUCGUGGUCUCUAUUUGCUAAACGGUUUCAGAAUAAGAGCGGUUUUAUUACAAACACUGCCUUGACUUUGCUUGUCUCGAUGUGCUACGAAGCGUGAGUGCUUGUGUACACAUUACAUUACAUGCUGGAGUUUGAUCGCUUGUGUGUGAAAUCUUCAUUUUAGUAUAGUACGGCUCGAACGACUAGAUCUGCAAACGAAAGCAGAGUGUACUGGGGUAAUUCACUAUGGAAACUCCUUGGAUGAAAUGGAUACUUAUCAUCGAGCUCAUGGUAGCAAUUACAUCUAGAUCAGCUCUAGCUCAAAUUACUUUACCAGGACUCUUGGAAUGCUACACGUGUUCGUCGAAAGAUUCGGUGGGCUGCGGUGGAGAGUUUGACAGCAACGCAGAGGGCGUAUCAAAAGUAGUAUGCAAUGGAUACUGUUAUAAAACAACCUACGGCUACUACGGGGUGACAGAAGUAGACCGAGGAUGUGAGCCCUCUAGCGACUGUCCUGCGUCAUGUAUUGGAAAUGCCUGUUCAUACUGCUGCCAAGCUUCACUAUGUAACAAAGCAACCAUUAUGACGUCAUUCCCGCUGCUCGCAUUUUUUGUGGUUGGUUUCGCAACGCUGAAGAAUAUUUUCACAGAAAGAUUUGUUUAACGUGGCCUUGAUGUAGUAUAUCACUGUCUUCUGAUUUACAUUGUGGUAGGUUCGCUACGCUGAAUGAUAUCUUGUUUGUCACAGAAAGAUAAUAAGAAUUGAACUUUAAAGGAUAUUGUAGCUAUAGACUGAUGUUGAAUAUGCCUAGAUCAAUAUUGUACUUGUAAAGUAUUAUUGUGUAGUGCGGGUGAAUCAUCUGAUUCAUAACAGAUCGUUGUGAAAUUUCCAUAUAUCUUUUAAAGAAUUAAAUAGAUUAUUUAUGUAGCACAGUGUUAUAGCUGUUUAUUUUACUCUGUUUUGUGCGACGGUAUUGAUUUCAAAUCAUGCUUAUCAAAGAUUCCUUAAUUUGAGGUUCGUCAUAUGGUAGUGGCAAAUAGAACAGCAUUCGCAAUUCGAAAAUCAGCAGUGUUCAUUAUAAUAAGAAGAAAACAAAAAACAUCAUAGUUCAAAUCAAAAUAACCAAUGCUUAGCCUAUUUUUUUCUCGGAAAUAUUGCGUAAAUGGUUCGUUUUGGGAAAUAGUGAAGGUCUUGAAGCCAUGGAAAUGAAGAUGAAGUAAUUGCUGAAUAUCACACAAAAGUGAAAGAAGUUGUAGAUAAUAUUUGUCAUGUAGCAUCAGUCAUGUCUGUUGUGUCUCUCAAUACAGAAUGUCGUAAAAUGGGUUUCUGAUAAGAUUUAUUUCAUAGGACUUCUAAUUUUCUAAAUGUUAUUGAACACGACAGCAAGAGAUAAUCCAAGAGCAAUAAUACUUUACAAUGUACUUUGAAUAGUUUGAGGCACUUAGGAUUUAUCAAUAUCAGAGACCCGUACAACAAAAGUUUGCAACCAUUUGCAAAAUGACGAUGGAUUAUCAAAAUCAUCGUUGCAUGCACAUGUUGUUCAAAAGGCUGAUCAUUAGCGAAUCAGAAUCGUCGUUUUAAGUAUGAAUUUGAUCGCAGAACUUUGUGUUGCUGGGCCGAUAUAAGAGUGUUAGUGGAUAUAUUGUUGGUUUAUUGGUUAUUGAUGGUUUGUUUAUUACUUUACUCGAUUCUAAGAAAGCAUGUACAUAUAUAUAUAUAUAUAUAUAUAUAUAUGCAUGUAAGUAAGCAGAAAGGAAACCGACGGUUUUAAGUCCUCUCCGAGGGACUUGGUAAUGAAUAAUGAAUGCCUUACCAAAGGGCACGAGCGCAUUGACUUGGUUCCGAACCCGAGACCUCUCAGUUACACGUCCACUGCUCUACCACUGAGCCAUCGCGCCUCCUUGUUCGAGACAACAACAUUGGCAAAAAGGGUUUGUUCAUCUGAAAUAAUUUUUGCAUAUUAUUAAGAAUUGAAAUUAAAAUUGAUGAAUAUAGGGGCUGUAAAUGUAUUUUAAUCUCUCAAGAUUUUUGUUUAUCCGUUUUACGUUUUAUAUGCCAAGUUGUAGGAAAUCAGGGUCAUUAUUCAAGGAAAGUGCCAGUAUUGUGUUAGUUUCAUCAUUCCCCUCCUCUACACAAAUGCUAUGGCACUGCGGCUCUUUUUAUUUGCAUGUUCAUCCAUUUCACAUAAUAUUCAUUUUGCCACAUUUUUUUAAAAAAAAUCA